RNAcentral lists this unclassified non-coding RNA (194 nucleotides) under plant metagenome. RNAcentral describes it as "partial contains small subunit ribosomal RNA and internal transcribed spacer 1". The stretch from base 1 to 46 matches the Rfam family "Eukaryotic small subunit ribosomal RNA", at positions 1786 to 1831 of the family's 1831-position model. The record is from RNAcentral.
AAGUCGUAGCAAGGUCUCCGUAGGUGAACCUGCGGAGGGAUCAUUACCAAAGAUGGCGGGCCCCCGGGCCCCCGUCCCCAACCCUUUGUUGACCCAAAAUCUUUUUGCCUCGGGGGCGGAGCGUCCGCCGCCGCCCCCGGAGGACCACCGAACGCUGUCUCUUUACGUCGGAGUAUUGAUUAAAUGAAUGAAAA